Engraulis encrasicolus (European anchovy) is the source of this 466-nucleotide long non-coding RNA. RefSeq lists it as uncharacterized. The transcript has 3 exons. The record is from RefSeq and is a predicted model, not a curated record. NCBI's taxonomy places the organism in Eukaryota, Metazoa, Chordata, Actinopteri, Clupeiformes, Engraulidae.
GUUUUGGUUUAGAUCUGGCAUUUGAGUAUACAAAUGAUUUGUCUUUUUAGCAUCACUUGGUUAUUUUUACAUAUUUGUAGUGAGUGGGACACGUGUUGAGUCUCUGGAUGCUAUCUGCUUUUUUGUCCGUAGAUCCUGAUUUUGACUCUGGCUUGUAGAGGCUCUAGCUGUUUCCAGUCUGUGGUUCCCUGUCAACAGCGGCAGCAGCCCUCCAGCCCCUUCUCCCCUCAUCUGCAGCCCAGCAUCAGAUCCUGAUUCGGACUCUGGCUUGUAGAGGCUCUAGCUGUUUACAGUCUGUUGUUCCCUGCUAACAGCGGCAGUAGCCCUCCAGCCCACUGAGAGUUCUUGCUGAAGCCCCUCAGCUGCAGCCCAGCAUCAGAUCCUGAUUUUGACUCUGGCUUGUAGAGGCUCUAGCUGUUUCCAGUCUGUGGUUCCCUGUCAACAGCGGCAGCAGCCCUCCAGCCCC